AUCAUCUGGUGGUGGCACUUCCCUUAACGCGGGUAGUGUGAAGCGCUGUGCACGAUUGAAAAUAACGCAGCCAAAUUCAACAAAAAGCCCGCAAGAGAUUGCGGGCUUUUUUGU
Molecule: non-coding RNA, 114 nt
Organism: Shewanella algae
Lineage: Bacteria; Pseudomonadati; Pseudomonadota; Gammaproteobacteria; Alteromonadales; Shewanellaceae
Source: Rfam